AAAAGGUGAAAGAAGUAAUGAUAAAAUGCUUAUAAUGUAACAUAAUUUUAAUUUCUUCAUUUCUUUCUUCAGUUUAUCUCAUUUUACAUUGAAAAUUAGUUAUCCACGAAAAUCGUUUAAGGAAAACAGUUAAAAAAAUCUGGUUUUGAAGGCGAGUGACGUAAUAUGGAAAAACUGAAAAAAAAACGGUAGUCCCGAUCAUUAUAUAUAAAAAAAAAUCGUUAUAUUAAAACACUACUCAUGGAACUAUACCGAAAAAAUACCAACCUGGUCUGUAUACUGCAAGUAGUAUUGAAUGUUAAGUGUUCAAUAUAAAAAGGAUUCUUUUUAGUUUUUUUUUUAUAAACGAAUGGACUAUAGCAAGAGUUGUGACAUAUGUCUAAGAAACUUAAACAACUAUGUAUUGCUGAUUUAGGAUGCGGGGGUAAACGAGGAGGAUACAGGAACUUAUCGCAAUGUUAUAUAAAAAGUACAUACUUUAUGAUUAACGAGUAGCAAUUAUGUAUUUAUCAAAUAAACAUAAGAACCGUA
Molecule: long non-coding RNA, 531 nt
Organism: Diabrotica virgifera virgifera (western corn rootworm)
Lineage: Eukaryota; Metazoa; Arthropoda; Insecta; Coleoptera; Chrysomelidae
Exons: 3
Source: RefSeq, a predicted model, not a curated record